CAAAAGACAAUGCAAGCAUUCGUAAUUCUGUUUUAGUUUUACUCUGGCCUGACUCAACACCUUUUUUGUAUCAAAUAUUAAUGCGCUGCUUCAAUUGUAGUACAUAAACAUUGACAGCGAUCCAGCGCUUCUGGGAUGUUCCGUGCCCUUUGGCGCUUCGCCUUCCUAAUGCUACGCCCAUUACGAAAGUAUUCUUGUGCUUGACCAAGCAUAGACAGACCGGUGCCCUUUUAAAAAUCUGGCGCCGAACGAUUUGCACAGACAAGAACCGACAUCAAAUUCGAGAGAUUUUUCAAAAAGAUCUACAACAUGUAGAAAUAGGAAGGGGAAAGGGAUGGAGUUGAAGGAACUCGCUUGGUCUCUAAAUGCCUCCCCGGUGGAUCAGCCUACUAGUACCAGUAACUUGCCAGCAAGCAAGCGAGCCGCUGUCGGGUAACACUCCCUUUGGAGGAUCUAUUUUGUUUCUUGCGAAGGAUAAAGGGAGCAGCCGGAAGGACACGGAAAGCGAAAGAUAGUGAUGAUACAAGCAGCACAAAGCCGACAGGAAAGCGUAUGGGAGGAAAAGAGAUGGGAAUGUCGCAACAUUUUGCUGUGCUUUAGGCCAUCACAAGUAGCCAGGAAAACGCAGAGCACUCAGCAAAGCAGAUAACCGACAGGUAUCAAUGCGAUGCCGGUGUCUAACCGUUGGUUGCAUUAGUUCACUCAGACGAGUGGGCUACAGACGAUGAGAAAACAACGAGAAGACGAACGUCAAAAAAAUGAAAGAGUUGCGAGCCCCACUACAUCUCGCGGUAAGGAGCGACAGCAGUUUGCGGUAUUCUACGGAAAAAGCACACCUCUGUCACAUUGAUGUGGGUGUCACUGAAUAAGGACUGCGAAGCAGCAGCGUUUUUCAAGACUAACAUUGUGUUCUAGAUAUUAAUUGAGAACCUGUCAGUCAGAAAAGAAAGGAAUAAUGUCUUGCCAUUGAGAGAGCAGAAUGACGAACAAGAUGAUCGUAUCUUGUAUAAACUCUUGUAGAGCAGCGAUAUCGUACUGGCGAACAAGCCACAGCAAUGGAUCAACUACCUCCCCGAAUCUCGUAGGCAGCGUUUUCGGGCUAAAAGUGGAAGCGGUUCAUCCCUAUAAACCAGUAUUGAAAGCGCACGUAGGCUACACCGGCUGUUGUACGGACAAUGUGUUCCUACUGCCGGCGGCAGAAGCAUGAAGGAGCCGGUCGUAGAGGGACGUGUGCAUACAGACAUCAUUAGGCCAUCGGACGUUUCUCUAUCCCCUCCACAUAAUUCUCUUGUCGGUUAUAUUACGACCGGGCCAAUGUAUAUGGUUUCUAUCUUGCUUUGGGUUGCGGGUUUGACAAGAUUUCUAUUUUAUUAAAUAUCCGCUCAAUAGCAGAGCGUGUAGAAAUUACGGCACGGAGAAGGAGCGUCCUCUGUUAUUCACAGUGACUCCUGGCUGAUAUCUGUGGACAGUAAUUAUAUCGUUGCAGCUUCUAAAUAUUUUGUCUUCACGUUCCCAUCUCUUCCACUCGACCGCCAACAGCGAGAAGAAGAAGACCAGUAGUAAAACAAAAUGGCAGCAGUACGUAACGACAACGGGAGUGGCCAAACGGGGUAGAAGAUGACAGCAAGAGCACAUCCUUGUUCACCUGGAGCUGAAAUUGACGAUACUCGCUAUGAUUUGGGACAUUGCCGUCUGCUUUUCCGACAAAAUAUUUCUUUAAGUUUUAUGAACGCUGUGUAUUGUGUUUAAUCACCAGCUCUAAUCUUGGUUUAUUAA
Molecule: long non-coding RNA, 1776 nt
Filed under: Varroa destructor (honeybee mite)
Lineage: Eukaryota; Metazoa; Arthropoda; Arachnida; Mesostigmata; Varroidae
Description: uncharacterized LOC111251434, transcript variant X2
Source: RNAcentral